ACUCCUACGGGAGGCAGCAGUAGGGAAGUCUUCCACAAUGGACGAAAGUCUGAUGGAGCAACGCCGCGUGAACGAUGAAGGCCUCGGUCGUAAGUUACUGUUGUAAGGAAGAACAAGUGCCGCAGGCAAUGGCGGCACCUUGACGGUACCUUGCGAGAAAGCCACGGCUAACUACGUGCCAGCAGCCGCGGUAAUACGUAGGUGGCAAGCGUUGUCCGGAAUUAUUGGGCGUAAAGCGCGCGCAGGCGGCCUCUUAAGCCUGAUGUGAAAGCCCCGGCUCAACCGGGGGAGGGCCAUUGGAAACUGGGAGGCUUGAGUAUAGGAGAGAAGAGUGGAAUUCCACGUGUAGCGGUGAAAUGCGUAGAGAUGUGGAGGAACACCAGUGGCGAAGGCGACUCUUUGGCCUAUAACUGACGCUGAGGCGCGAAAGCGU
This 433-nucleotide ribosomal RNA is filed under the name uncultured bacterium. RNAcentral describes it as "bacterial SSU rRNA". It matches the Rfam family "Bacterial small subunit ribosomal RNA", at positions 335 to 762 of the family's 1533-position model. The record is from RNAcentral.